Molecule: long non-coding RNA, 202 nt
Organism: Cyprinodon variegatus (sheepshead minnow)
Lineage: Eukaryota; Metazoa; Chordata; Actinopteri; Cyprinodontiformes; Cyprinodontidae
Exons: 3
Source: RefSeq, a predicted model, not a curated record
GCGAGGCCUGGGUCACCUCUGCUCUCAUCAACCAGCCUGGGGUGAACUCAGUCAUGUCCGGUACCCUCGGCUUUGGGGUGAAAAAGGCAGACAUUCCGGGUCUUCAGCGCCAUCUGUUGGAUCUGGAUCCUUAUGCAGAUGCCCUAACAGAGGAAUUCUGGGAGACGCUAUUUAACUGCACACUGGACUAUAGCAAAGCCCU